This 309-nucleotide ribosomal RNA is filed under the name Schilbe sp. JAAG-2007. RNAcentral's name for it is "partial 12S ribosomal RNA". It matches the Rfam family "Bacterial small subunit ribosomal RNA", at positions 868 to 1344 of the family's 1533-position model. The record is from RNAcentral. Lineage: Eukaryota; Metazoa; Chordata; Actinopteri; Siluriformes; Schilbidae.
UCCGCCAGGGUACUACGAGCACAGCUUAAAACCCAAAGGACUUGGCGGUGUCUCAGACCCACCUAGAGGAGCCUGUUCUAGAACCGAUAACCCCCGUUAAACCUCACCACUUCUUGUUUUCCCCGCCUAUAUACCGCCGUCGUCAGCUUACCCUGUGAAGGCUUAGCAGUAAGCAAAACGGGCCCACCCAAAAACGUCAGGUCGAGGUGUAGCGUACGAAGUGGAAAGAAAUGGGCUACAUUUUCUACAAACAGAACACUACGGACAGCAUCCUGAAAAAAUGCCUAAAGGUGGAUUUAGUAGUAAAAA